RNAcentral lists this ribosomal RNA (1175 nucleotides) under Rhytidhysteron rufulum. Its description in RNAcentral is "bacterial SSU rRNA". It matches the Rfam family "Eukaryotic small subunit ribosomal RNA". The record is from RNAcentral. Lineage: Eukaryota; Fungi; Ascomycota; Dothideomycetes; Hysteriales; Hysteriaceae.
GGGGCAUGGGUCUAGGGUAUAAGCAUUAUACCGUGAAACUGCGAAUGGCUCAUUAAAUCAGUUAUCGUUUAUUUGAUAGUACCUUACUACUUGGAUAACCGUGGUAAUUCUAGAGCUAAUACAUGCUAAAAACCCCGACUUCGGGAGGGGUGUAUUUAUUAGAUAAAAAACCAAUGCCCUUCGGGGCUCCUUGGUGAAUCAUAAUAACUUAACGGAUCGCAUGGCCUUGCGCCGGCGACGGUUCAUUCAAAUUUCUGCCCUAUCAACUUUCGAUUGUAGGGUAUUGGCCUACAAUGGUAUCAACGGGUAACGGGGAAUUAGGGUUCGAUUCCGGAGAGGGAGCCUGAGAAACGGCUACCACAUCCAAGGAAGGCAGCAGGCGCGCAAAUUACCCAAUCCCGACACGGGGAGGUAGUGACAAUAAAUACUGAUACAGGGCUCUUUUGGGUCUUGUAAUUGGAAUGAGUACAAUUUAAAUCCCUUAACGAGGAACAAUUGGAGGGCAAGUCUGGUGCCAGCAGCCGCGGUAAUUCCAGCUCCAAUAGCGUAUAUUAAAGUUGUUGCAGUUAAAAAGCUCGUAGUUGAACCUUGGGUCUGGCUGGCCGGUCCGCCUCACCGCGUGCACUGGUCCGGCCGGACCUUUCCUUCUGGAGAACCGCAUGCCCUUCACUGGGUGUGCCGGGGAACCAGGACUUUUACUUUGAAAAAAUUAGAGUGUUCAAAGCAGGCCUUUGCUCGAAUACAUUAGCAUGGAAUAAUAGAAUAGGACGUGCGGUCCUAUUUUGUUGGUUUCUAGGACCGCCGUAAUGAUUAAUAGGGAUAGUCGGGGGCAUCAGUAUUCAAUUGUCAGAGGUGAAAUUCUUAGAUUUAUUGAAGACUAACUACUGCGAAAGCAUUUGCCAAGGAUGUUUUCAUUAAUCAGUGAACGAAAGUUAGGGGAUCGAAGACGAUCAGAUACCGUCGUAGUCUUAACCGUAAACUAUGCCGACUAGGGAUCGGGCGAUGUUAUUCUUUUGACUCGCUCGGCACCUUACGAGAAAUCAAAGUUUUUGGGUUCUGGGGGGGAGUAUGGUCGCAGCUGAACUAAGAGGUGUGUUUGUAGCCGCCGCGCGGCAUUUGUACAGUUGUGUCGGACGUGGCUCAUCAGUACGUAGAGGUGAGUACAUAAAUCACUC